GGCCCGUUGGUCAAGCGGCUAAGACACCAGCCUCUCACGCUGGUAACAAGGGUUCGAUUCCCUUACGGGUCACCA
This 75-nucleotide transfer RNA is filed under the name Bacillota bacterium. RNAcentral describes it as "tRNA-Glu". It matches the Rfam family "tRNA". From Rfam's summary of the family: Transfer RNA (tRNA) molecules are approximately 80 nucleotides in length. Their secondary structure includes four short double-helical elements and three loops (D, anti-codon, and T loops). The record is from RNAcentral. Lineage: Bacteria; Bacillati; Bacillota.